Molecule: long non-coding RNA, 426 nt
Organism: Rosa rugosa (rugosa rose)
Lineage: Eukaryota; Viridiplantae; Streptophyta; Magnoliopsida; Rosales; Rosaceae
Exons: 3
Source: RefSeq, a predicted model, not a curated record
UGGACUCGAUCCAGCUUCAAGACAUAAUCUAUACGGGCAAAACAAGAUUGUGCGAUCAUCCUAACAAAUAGCCACAGACAGCGGAUAAUAAGUUGGAUUGAUGGCACAAGACAGCUAUCAGCUACAUUUGACUUCACAACCAAGGGAGUUCUUCAGGAAGCUGUCAAGGGACAAUUAUGGAGAUUAUGUGAUCCCCAAGGGAAGCCACCAGGUGUAAUAUAGUAGUACAGCUAGCUAGUUCCUAUAUUUAACUUGUUUCUAGUAGAAAUUCUUCCUUCAUUAAGAAUGUGGACUUGUUUGCAGAUUCAAAUUAGUAGAUAUGGGCCAUUUUGAACUGAUGCUCAUGAUUAGGUUUGUGUACAUGAGACAAUGAUGGAUUAGUGGAAAUUGCAAUGAAUGCUUUUGGAUGUGGAUUUUAUGGUUUCA